This 328-nucleotide ribosomal RNA is filed under the name uncultured bacterium. RNAcentral's name for it is "bacterial SSU rRNA". It matches the Rfam family "Bacterial small subunit ribosomal RNA", at positions 30 to 341 of the family's 1533-position model. The record is from RNAcentral.
AUUGAACGCUGGCGGCGUGCCUAACACAUGCAAGUCGAGCGGUAACAGGUGUAGCAAUACAUGCUGACGAGCGGCGAACGGGUGAGUAAUGCUUUGGAAUCUUCCCAGUAGUGGGGAAUAACCAGUCGAAAGAUUGGCUAAUACCGCAUACGUCUGUAAAGGGAAAGCGGGGGACUCGCCUCUUCUUCGGAAGAGAGGCCUCGCGCUAUUGGAUGAGCCAAAGCGGAUUAGCUAGUUGGUGGGGUAAUGGCCUACCAAGGCGACAAUCCGUAGCCGGUCUGAGAGGACGACCAGCCACACCGGAACUGAGACACGGUCCGGACCUCCG